RNAcentral lists this transfer RNA (65 nucleotides) under Dipodomys ordii (Ord's kangaroo rat). It matches the Rfam family "tRNA". From Rfam's summary of the family: Transfer RNA (tRNA) molecules are approximately 80 nucleotides in length. Their secondary structure includes four short double-helical elements and three loops (D, anti-codon, and T loops). The record is from Rfam by way of RNAcentral. Lineage: Eukaryota; Metazoa; Chordata; Mammalia; Rodentia; Heteromyidae.
GGUGGCUCAAUGGUAGAGUGCUUGCCUCACAUGCAUGAGGUCCUGGGUUCUAUUCCUUAGCACCA